This 21-nucleotide non-coding RNA is filed under the name Caenorhabditis elegans. The record is from RNAcentral. Lineage: Eukaryota; Metazoa; Nematoda; Chromadorea; Rhabditida; Rhabditidae.
UACUGGAAUUUUAUUGUAACU